UACGUAGGUGGCAAGCGUUGUCCGGAAUUAUUGGGCGUAAAGCGCGCGCAGGCGGUCCUUUAAGUCUGAUGUGAAAGCCCACGGCUCAACCGUGGAGGGUCAUUGGAAACUGGAGGACUUGAGUGCAGAAGAGAAGAGUGGAAUUCCACGUGUAGCGGUGAAAUGCGUAGAGAUGUGGAGGAACACCAGUGGCGAAGGCGGCAUCCUGGACCGACAUUGACGCUGAGGAGCGAAAGCCAGGGGAGCAAACGGG
Molecule: ribosomal RNA, 253 nt
Filed under: uncultured bacterium
Lineage: Bacteria
Description: partial 16S ribosomal RNA
Rfam family: Bacterial small subunit ribosomal RNA
Source: RNAcentral